Small nucleolar RNA from Suricata suricatta (meerkat), 122 nucleotides. The record is from Ensembl. NCBI's taxonomy places the organism in Eukaryota, Metazoa, Chordata, Mammalia, Carnivora, Herpestidae.
AGGCACUGUUCGUGGCCUGUCAGUCUGGCUGUGGCUCACGGGCUCCAUUCCAGUGCUACAGUGAUUCCGCGGCAUGUGACUGAGCGACGUGUGGCUCUCAGUGUCAGGUCCGGGGGACACAG